UUCGACUCCUGUAUUAUCUUUGGUAGGUGAAUUUUGAUAUGCAUUCUUUAACUCUUUGAGAGGGUCCUCGCUGGUAGAUGAAUCCCCCUUGACCCACUCUGGCCCUGAUUUGCACUGCUUCUCAAACAUCAUCUGAAGGCUCACUAAGCUGGUGCCUAGCGGUCUCUUGCAAAAUUUUCACAAAUCAACACGCCAUACCUCAAGUUGUUCAUGAAGUCUCUUUUGUACUUCCAUCUGCAACCGCAGAGCUUCAGUGAUCUCAAUACCCCUGAUCCAUAAUGUUCAUGGAGCACAAUAAUCAGCCAGAAAACAUAAAGGUAUAAAGCCUCUCAACAUUGAUCUAAGGCAGUACAUGAUUUUUUAUAAAAUAUGUCAAUAUUUCAUGCAUUGUGCCAGAUCCAGAUUGCUUGUAAGUGCUGUCUUAAUUUAAAUCUUGAAACCAACGCUUGCAAUUUAUGUGAACAAAAACAAGAAUGAUUCAUAGUUCACAGACUAGUAAUCCUCUCGAAACAAAAUAUGUAAGAUCAUGAAAGAGGAAAGUAAUUUAUUUUUAAAAUGGUGAGGCUCUCUGGAGUUUGCAGAGUUACUUCCUUUCCAUUUUCAGUGAUUAUUCAGAAUAUAAAAUGAGAACGCCAUGUUCUUUGAUUGGAGUACCAUGUGGAAGAGCUAUCUGAAGCUCAUGCUGAAUCCCUACUGCAUUUUUAUACAUUAAUUGUUUGUGGUGGUUCCCUAGUUUUGAAUUUUUCUAAUGUCCAAAACAUAUAGUGUUAUCCUUUCACAAACUUUAAUAGCAUAACCAGAAUCCUACUUGCAGUCCUGCUGUUACAGGUUAGUCAAAUUAUUGAUACACAUCUUCAACUAAACACAUAAACCUAUAAAGUGAUUGAGGUAGGUUUUGUACAAAAGAUCAACAGUAAUUAAACACAGAAUACAAGAGGCAUGAGUUGUGGCUUGUGUAUGUAUAAGGGCAGGGCAACAGUCGUAAAUAUUUCUCUGAAUCUGAUGCUAUUAUACUCUUGACUAGUGUUCUUUAAUCUCAUAUGUGUUCUGUUUUGGGAUCCCUCAUCCCUCUGUAUCUAAUUCUAUUUGCAUUAACAAAUAUGUCUUCAGUUUGUAUAAAAAAAAGUCAGCAGUAGAACUGAAUCAAACAAGGGAAAAAAUAAAAAAUAAAAAUAAGAUUCAUAUGGCUAUUACAGGUGGACUGCCCUCCCAUAUGGAAAGGGAUUCUAGACCAACUUAUAUAUUGGGGUAUACCCUCACCCCUGAACUUAUUUCCCCUGUUUUGUGGUUCAUAAGAAAACCAUACUUCAUACUUGGCGGCACAGCUGGAUAGCCAGCCAGGAGGCAAGGGUCUGGAAAGGGCAGCAUGUGAUGGGUACCCUUCUAAAUCAAUGAAGAGAGCGACCAAGUUUCUAGCCUGUGAAUUUGGUGACUAGCCAGCCAGAUAAACUUAUUCAGUUAUUAUCAAAUAGGGGACUAGCCUGUGAAUUUGGUGACUACAUACUAAUCCAAGUUUCUAUUCCCCUCAAGAACAACAUGCAUUACACAAAAGAAAAUAUAUCCAUCUCAGAUGUAAGGACCCAACAAAGGGAAGUAAACUUACGUUUUCAAGUCGAGAGAUGAAAGUUCUUCAAUUGAAGUUUCUCUCUCCAAAGAUUCUGCAA
Molecule: long non-coding RNA, 1664 nt
Organism: Salvia splendens (bonfire salvia)
Lineage: Eukaryota; Viridiplantae; Streptophyta; Magnoliopsida; Lamiales; Lamiaceae
Exons: 2
Source: RefSeq, a predicted model, not a curated record